AACGAACGCUGGCGGCAUGCCUAACACAUGCAAGUCGAACGAAGCCUUCGGGCUUAGUGGCGCACGGGUGCGUAACGCGUGGGAAUCUGCCCUUGGGUUCGGAAUAACAGUUAGAAAUAGACUGCUAAUACCGAAUGAUGUCUUCGGACCAAAGAAUUUAUCGCCCAAGGAUGAGCCCGCGUCGGAUUAGCUAGUUGGUGAGGUAAAGGCUCACCAAGGCGACGAUCCGUAGCUGGUCUGAGAGGAUGAUCAGCCACACUGGGACUGAGACACGGCCCAGACUCCUACGGGAGGCAGCAGUGGGGGAAUAUUGGACAAUGGGCGAAAGCCUGAUCCAGCAAUGCCGCGUGAGUGAUGAAGGCCUUAGGGUUGUAAAGCUCUUUUACCCGGGAUGAUAAUGACAGUACCGGGAGAAUAAGCCCCGGCUAACUCCGUGCCAGCAGCCGCGGUAAU
This 453-nucleotide ribosomal RNA is filed under the name uncultured bacterium. RNAcentral describes it as "bacterial SSU rRNA". It matches the Rfam family "Bacterial small subunit ribosomal RNA", at positions 29 to 524 of the family's 1533-position model. The record is from RNAcentral.